This 466-nucleotide ribosomal RNA is filed under the name uncultured bacterium. RNAcentral describes it as "partial 16S ribosomal RNA". It matches the Rfam family "Bacterial small subunit ribosomal RNA", at positions 28 to 507 of the family's 1533-position model. The record is from RNAcentral.
GACGAACGCUGGCGGCGCGCCUAACACAUGCAAGUCGAACGAGCGAGAGAGAGCUUGCUUUCUCAAGCGAGUGGCGAACGGGUGGGUAACGCGUGAGGAACCUGCCUCAAAGAGGGGGACAACAGUUGGAAACGACUGCUAAUACCGCAUAAGCCCACAGGUCGGCAUCGACCAGAGGGAAAAGGAGCAAUCCGCUUUGAGAUGGCCUCGCGUCCGAUUAGCUAGUUGGUGAGGUAACGGCCCACCAAGGCAACGAUCGGUAGCCGGACUGAGAGGUUGAACGGCCACAUUGGGACUGAGACACGGCCCAGACUCCUACGGGAGGCAGCAGUGGGGAAUAUUGCACAAUGGGGGAAACCCUGAUGCAGCGACGCCGCGUGGAGGAAGAAGGUCUUCGGAUUGUAAACUCCUGUUGUUGAGGAAGAUAAUGACGGUACUCAACAAGGAAGUGACGGCUAACUACGUG